UUCAUGCACUUCCCGAAAUGUAUAUUCUACUUACGAAGGAGUCAAACACUUGAGGAGUGGAAACUAAAGGCCCUUCGGUAUAAGUCUCCGUCAAUAAGGAUGAAGUUUGAGCUCUCAUGCUUGAUCUUGUUCGCAUAGAUGCGAUCUAAAGGUAGGACCCCAUCAGCUAGGUAUGCGAUGUAUGGGGUGAGCCAACAAUCCAGCCGAUCUAAAUCUAAGACAUCCACCUUCA
Molecule: long non-coding RNA, 232 nt
Filed under: Panax ginseng (ginseng)
Lineage: Eukaryota; Viridiplantae; Streptophyta; Magnoliopsida; Apiales; Araliaceae
Description: long non-coding RNA (PGIN_LNC014461)
Source: RNAcentral